Long non-coding RNA from Pygocentrus nattereri (red-bellied piranha), 335 nucleotides. NCBI's taxonomy places the organism in Eukaryota, Metazoa, Chordata, Actinopteri, Characiformes, Serrasalmidae. The record is from Ensembl.
UGCAUUUCUCUAUUUUGAUCCAGCUAAGUCAAGUCAUCAGACUAUUGCUAAACCCUUCCUGAGCCUAAUCAGGCAUUAGGAAAGGGUAAAUGAGGCAGAGAUAUUCAAUGACUGAGAAUAAGAAAAAGGCUCACAUGGUAUUGUGCUGGCAGAGGGAAAGAGCGAAAGGGCACACAGGUCACUUGUUUGUUUGUUUGUUUCCCUGGUUGGUAUUAGAUGCUGCUGGAGAAGACCAAGCUUAUUUGUACGGAGAUAAGAAAUCUGCUGAGGCCGGAUUUAAAAUCAGAUUCUGUCACAGAGGUACCCUUUGUGCCCAGUGUAAAGACAGUGUGUGA